RNAcentral lists this ribosomal RNA (253 nucleotides) under uncultured Blautia sp. Its description in RNAcentral is "partial 16S ribosomal RNA". It matches the Rfam family "Bacterial small subunit ribosomal RNA", at positions 524 to 776 of the family's 1533-position model. Lineage: Bacteria; Bacillati; Bacillota; Clostridia; Lachnospirales; Lachnospiraceae. The record is from RNAcentral.
UACGUAGGGGGCAAGCGUUAUCCGGAUUUACUGGGUGUAAAGGGAGCGUAGACGGUGAUGCAAGUCAGAAGUGAAAGCCCGGGGCCCAACCGCGGGACUGCAUUGGAAACUGCGCAGCUGGAGUGCCGGAGGGGUAAGCGGAAUUCCUAGUGUAGCGGUGAAAUGCGUAGAUAUUAGGAGGAACACCAGUGGCGAAGGCGGCUUACUGGACGAUGACUGACGCUGAGGCUCGAAAGUGUGGGGAGCAAACAGG